UACAGAGGUCCCAAGCGUUGUUCGGAUUCACUGGGCGUAAAGGGUGCGUAGGCGGUCGGGUAAGUCUGACGUGAAAUCUCCAAGCUCAACUUGGAAAUGGCGUCGGAUACUAUUCGGCUCGAGGAGUGGAGGGGAGACUGGAAUUCUCGGUGUAGCAGUGAAAUGCGUAGAUAUCGAGAGGAACACCAGUGGCGAAGGCGAGUCUCUGGACACUUCCUGACGCUGAGGCACGAAAGCCAGGGGAGCAAACGGG
RNAcentral lists this ribosomal RNA (253 nucleotides) under uncultured bacterium. RNAcentral describes it as "partial 16S ribosomal RNA". It matches the Rfam family "Bacterial small subunit ribosomal RNA", at positions 524 to 776 of the family's 1533-position model. The record is from RNAcentral.